Molecule: ribosomal RNA, 425 nt
Filed under: uncultured bacterium
Lineage: Bacteria
Description: bacterial SSU rRNA
Rfam family: Bacterial small subunit ribosomal RNA
Source: RNAcentral
GUGGGGAAUCUUGGACAAUGGGGGCAACCCUGAUCCAGCCAUGCCGCGUGAGCGAUGAAGGCCUUAGGGUUGUAAAGCUCUUUCAGCGGGGAAGAUAAUGACGGUACCCGCAGAAGAAGCCCCGGCUAACUCCGUGCCAGCAGCCGCGGUAAUACGGAGGGGGCUAGCGUUGUUCGGAAUUACUGGGCGUAAAGCGCACGUAGGCGGACCAUCAAGUUGGGGGUGAAAUCCCGGGGCUCAACCCCGGAACUGCCUCCAAAACUGCUGGUCUGGAGGUCGAGAGAGGUGAGUGGAAUUCCGAGUGUAGAGGUGAAAUUCGUAGAUAUUCGGAGGAACACCAGUGGCGAAGGCGGCUCACUGGCUCGAUACUGACGCUGAGGUGCGAAAGCGUGGGGAGCAAACAGGAUUAGAAACCCGAGUAGUCC